RNAcentral lists this small RNA (562 nucleotides) under Malus domestica (apple). Its description in RNAcentral is "sRNA MD13G0167500". The record is from RNAcentral. Lineage: Eukaryota; Viridiplantae; Streptophyta; Magnoliopsida; Rosales; Rosaceae.
AAAAAGCCAGAGCCUGUUUCUCGAACUCUCUCCUACGGCGGAACCACCGCCAUCAUCAGAUUCACACUCAAUUUUCCUCACAAGUCGAAUCUGCAACCACGAUGUCCAUGGGAAACAGGGAGUCUGAUCGGGGAAGUUCUUGAGCCAAUUCAGGGAAAUUGAGAUCGGUAGACGCACCUUUGAGGUCUAUAGCUGCUGCAUCCUAUGCUCGAGCUGCCAUUUCAGUUGUUGGCAACAAGGAGAAAUGAGUCGGCCGGAGGACUCUGAAAGAUAAUUGUUGUUGUUGCUGCUAUAGAUAUGCCGGCGGAGCCUGUGGAGGGAGAGUUUAGGCUUGGUUUGAGAAGUGGGAUAAUCCUCUGCAAUGCUAUCUAUAAAGUUCAAACUGGAGCUGUGCCCAAGGAAUGGGAGAACCUUUGAAUAAGUAUGGUUCCUUAAUUGAAGCAAUUCAUGUCAUGACUGGAUCACUAUUUCACCUAUCGCCAAUGAAAAUUAUUGUCGACGAUAGGCAUUGAAAAAUCCAUAUGUUUUUAUCUGCAAAAACAUUCAGAUAUGGUGUAUCUUA